CCCAUUAUCUGGGGUGAGGACAGUGCCUGGUGGGUAGUUUGACUGGGGCGGUCUCCUCCCAAAGAGUAACGGAGGAGCACGAAGGUGGGCUAAUCACGGUUGGACAUCGUGAGGUUAGUGCAAUGGCAUAAGCCCGCUUAACUGCGAGAAUGACGGUUCGAGCAGGUGCGAAAGCAGGUCAUAGUGAUCCGGUGGUUCUGUAUGGAAGGGCCAUCGCUCAACGGAUAAAAGGUACUCCGGGGAUAACAGGCUGAUACCGCCCAAGAGUUCAUAUCGACGGCGGUGUUUGGCACCUCGAUGUCGGCUCAUCACAUCCUGGGGCUGAAGUCGGUCCCAAGGGUAUGGCUGUUCGCCAUUUAAAGUGGUACGCGAGCUGGGUUUAGAACGUCGUGAGACAGUUCGGUCCCUAUCUGCCGUGGGCGUUGGAAGAUUGAAGGGGGCUGCUCCUAGUACGAGAGGACCGGAGUGGACGAACCUCUGGUGUUCGGGUUGUGUCGCCAGACGCAUUGCCCGGUAGCUAAGUUCGGAAUUGAUAAGCGCUGAAAGCAUCUAAGCGCGAAGCGAGCCCUGAGAUGAGUCUUCCCUGAUACUUUAAGUAUCCUAAAGGGUUGUUCGAGACUAGAACGUUGAUAGGCAGGGUGUGUAAGCGUUGUGAGGCGUUGAGCUAACCUGUACUAAUUGCCCGUGAGGCUUAACCAU
This 699-nucleotide ribosomal RNA is filed under the name Vibrio cholerae. Its description in RNAcentral is "partial 23S ribosomal RNA". It matches the Rfam family "Bacterial large subunit ribosomal RNA", at positions 2232 to 2925 of the family's 2925-position model. The record is from RNAcentral. Lineage: Bacteria; Pseudomonadati; Pseudomonadota; Gammaproteobacteria; Vibrionales; Vibrionaceae.